This 164-nucleotide ribosomal RNA is filed under the name uncultured bacterium. RNAcentral describes it as "partial 16S rRNA". It matches the Rfam family "Bacterial small subunit ribosomal RNA", at positions 355 to 511 of the family's 1533-position model. The record is from RNAcentral.
UAGGGAAUCUUCCACAAUGGGCGAAAGCCUGAUGGAGCAACGCCGCGUGUGUGAUGAAGGGUUUCGGCUCGUAAAACACUGUUGUAAGAGAAGAAUGACAUUGAGAGUAACUGUUCAAUGUGUGACGGUAUCCUACCAGAAAGGAACGGCUAAAUACGUACCAG